RNAcentral lists this ribosomal RNA (772 nucleotides) under fungal endophyte. RNAcentral describes it as "eukaryotic LSU rRNA". The stretch from base 502 to 772 matches the Rfam family "Eukaryotic large subunit ribosomal RNA", at positions 1 to 266 of the family's 3401-position model. Lineage: Eukaryota; Fungi. The record is from RNAcentral.
UUACCGAGUGAGGGCCCUCUGGGUCCAACCUCCCACCCGUGUUUAUUUUACCUUGUUGCUUCGGCGGGCCCGCCUUAACUGGCCGCCGGGGGGCUUACGCCCCCGGGCCCGCGCCCGCCGAAGACACCCUCGAACUCUGUCUGAAGAUUGUAGUCUGAGUGAAAAUAUAAAUUAUUUAAAACUUUCAACAACGGAUCUCUUGGUUCCGGCAUCGAUGAAGAACGCAGCGAAAUGCGAUACGUAAUGUGAAUUGCAAAUUCAGUGAAUCAUCGAGUCUUUGAACGCACAUUGCGCCCCCUGGUAUUCCGGGGGGCAUGCCUGUCCGAGCGUCAUUUCUGCCCUCAAGCACGGCUUGUGUGUUGGGCCCCGUCCUCCGAUCCCGGGGGACGGGCCCGAAAGGCAGCGGCGGCACCGCGUCCGGUCCUCGAGCGUAUGGGGCUUUGUCACCCGCUCUGUAGGCCCGGCCGGCGCUUGCCGAUCAACCCAAAUUUUUAUCCAGGUUGACCUCGGAUCAGGUAGGGAUACCCGCUGAACUUAAGCAUAUCAAUAAGCGGAGGAAAAGAAACCAACAGGGAUUGCCCCAGUAACGGCGAGUGAAGCGGCAAGAGCUCAAAUUUGAAAGCUGGCUCCUUCGGGGUCCGCAUUGUAAUUUUGUAGAGGAUGCUUCGGGAGCGGUCCCCAUCUAAGUGCCCUGGAACGGGACGUCAUAGAGGGUGAGAAUCCCGUAUGGGGAUGGGGUGUCCGCGCCCGUGUGAAGCUCCUUCGACGAGUC